UUUUCUUCUUUCAGUAAUUUAUUUGGUGAUCAAAUAAAAAGAACUGAAUAGUCUAUUUAAAAUUCAUAUACUACCACAGGAGGUGAUAUUUUGAAAAGCUAUAUAAAUGAUUAGAUCAAUAAACUUGAAUUUUAUAUCAUUUUUAUAAAUUCUAAAUAUAAUAUGAAAAUUUGAUACUCUCUCAAAUCCUUCCAAUAAGCCAAUUUUAUCCAUAUUUCCUUUUUAUUAAAAGAUGAGCAUUCCUACAAACUAAUCUUAUCCUCAUGUGUUAUUAACCAAAAUGUCAUUUUAUUCGUGUCAUUACAAGAAUUCUUCUCGCACUUUUAACUAAUAACCCUAUUUUCACCGGCAUAAUUAUAUGUAUUGCCAUUGUUAUAGACCAACGUUAGGAGACAUUUGUAAUCGUUAGAUGCCUCAACGAUUCUUUAUCAUGGUUAUGUUUCUAAAACAUGUUUACAAUGUCUACAUAAGCCGCACAUAUAUAAACUAAAUUAUAUAGUUAUAUAAAUAUAUACAAAAUAAUUAUAGUAUAUAGUUGAUAUGGUCGUACUGUGUGUCAAAAAAAAUAAUUAUAUUAUGUAUAUAACUAUAUACAAAAUAAUUAUAUUAUAUAAUGCUAUGGUCGCCGCUCUUCUUCUCCGACUAGAAGCAAAAACAAAAAAAAAAAAGAAAAAAAAAAAUUCUGAAACAUGGCAAGGAUUCACCAGCUUAGUCCAAUUGCAUCGUAACCUUCCCCCUCCAAUAACCAUAGAUACUAAAAAAUUUCAUGUUUUUCUCCAGAUGUGUAAAACGGUGACAAGCUUCUGAGAAGAAUUUUUGAAAAAAACUUCGUUAAAACACUUUUCUAUAUGAAAAGCUUCAACUCUACUGAGUCUUCCAAAAUUCUCUUGCUAAAUCAAAUAACUCAAGGACCAGAUCUGAUAAGAUACUCUGCCCAAAGGCCAACCAGCCAAUUUUAUCAGAAGAUAAAGAUUGAUUCUUUUCAAAUUCCGGCCCCGAGAAUAACCAGAGAAAAAACAAUCCUUUCUCAAUAUCAAACGGGAUUUAAAAACUAAGAACCAGAGGACAAGGUGAAGAUAGAUAGAUAGAUUAUUAAUCAAUCCCAAAUCAAAGAAAGAUAGAACAUGAAGAUCCACUUUGAAAUUGAGAUUGAGACACUCCAAAAUCCCCAAGGGAAGAGAAAUCCGCUAACAGGAAAAACAAGAUCAAUCUAGAGAUCGAAACGAAAGGUCCGCUAACGGAAUAAAAAGAUCGAUCAAAGAUCGAUCAAAGAUCGAAUAUAAUACAAACAAAAAAGCCUCUAAUUAAUCUCUCCCCCCUCUGAAUGAUUUUUGAUGGGUAAGAGGUGCAGAG
This 1353-nucleotide long non-coding RNA is filed under the name Brassica napus (rape). RNAcentral describes it as "long non-coding RNA (BNAP_LNC010052)". Lineage: Eukaryota; Viridiplantae; Streptophyta; Magnoliopsida; Brassicales; Brassicaceae. The record is from RNAcentral.